This is a non-coding RNA of Pelobates cultripes (western spadefoot toad), 311 nucleotides long. The record is from the annotation of a GenBank genome assembly. NCBI's taxonomy places the organism in Eukaryota, Metazoa, Chordata, Amphibia, Anura, Pelobatidae.
AUAGAGGUAAGUUUUACCUUCCUGUUUCCUUUUUUUCCCAUUUCUUAUUUAAUUUUAUUAUGGGGGGCACCAGGAUAGAAUGGUUUAAUCUUACCAAAAACAGUGUUUUAUUAAAACAGGUUUUGGUGGGAUAAACCAGUUAACUGGGUCAGUUAACCAGCUAAUAUGGAGCAUUAUGGUGCCACUGUCACUAAUUAUAUAAUUGUAGGUGUUAUUUCUCUCUCAGCAUUACAGAGGACUCAGGGCUAACAAUGACAUAGCAUUGGGUGUCACAGGGAACACAUUCUGUUGCUUGCGGAAUUGUACCAAAG